UACGGGAGGAUCCGAGCGUUAUCCGGAUUUAUUGGGUUUAAAGGGAGCGUAGGCGGGUUGUUAAGUCAGUUGUGAAAGUUUGCGGCUCAACCGUAAAAUUGCAAUUGAUACUGGCACCUUGAGUACAGUUGAGGUAGGCGGAAUUCGUGGUGGUAGCGGUGAAAUGCUUAGAUAUCACGAAGAACUCCGAUUGACGAAGGCAGCCUGCCGCAGCGUUACUGACGCUGAAGCUCGAAAGCGCGGGUAUCGAAACAGGG
This 257-nucleotide ribosomal RNA is filed under the name uncultured bacterium. RNAcentral's name for it is "partial 16S ribosomal RNA". It matches the Rfam family "Bacterial small subunit ribosomal RNA", at positions 524 to 777 of the family's 1533-position model. The record is from RNAcentral.